RNAcentral lists this long non-coding RNA (1980 nucleotides) under Triticum aestivum (bread wheat). RNAcentral describes it as "long non-coding RNA (TAES_LNC019536)". Lineage: Eukaryota; Viridiplantae; Streptophyta; Magnoliopsida; Poales; Poaceae. The record is from RNAcentral.
AAGAAGACAAACGGACGUAGUCGAACGAAUCCUCACAACUCUGGAACGGAACCAAAGCUAAUGAGAGAAGCAAACCAGAAAUAAGCAAGCAACAUGGUAAACACACAAGCAAAACAUGGCAUGAUGCAUGUGCGGUUUAAAUAUGCAUAGCAUGGCUAAGUGCACAAACAAAACUACAAGUUAAGUGGAGCUCAAUAUGCAAUGAGUUGCAUAUUGACGAAACAACACAUUCGAUUAUUUAGUUCUCUCCCGUGUAUGCACCCAACAAUAUUAAAUGUUAUUUAAACAUGGCAAUGGGUGAAGCAUAAAAAAACUAUCUAUUUAGGCAAGUUUAAAUGAGGCUAGAAAUAACAAACAAUAAUUCCGGUAAAUCCUCAUAUGCAUUUAGCAAUUUAAUGCAAACACCAAUUUAAACAUUUUAAAAAUUGUUAGCAUGAUGCGAAUGACAUACAAGUUUUAUGCAAUUUUUAUGAAAAUGUUGACAUGAGCAUAUCAUGAAGCAUUUGUAACCGUGGUGGAAAGGAAGUGUGCCACGGCAACGAACCCGAAAAUGAUGCCACGACAACAUAUCGGUUCCAGUAACUCGACUGAGAUACCGAUGGCAAAAGAAAGGGCGUGAGCGAGUUGGGAAAGAUGGUGGGGUGUUCCCGGAUUCCGGGUGUCCCAUGAGUUAGUGGCAAGGCAAACGAGGAACGUGCAAGCGACAACUCGGACACGGGGCAACCACGACAUCUCAUACAACACAAGCAUUCGUUCACGGGCGUCGUCUCGCGGUAUACCUUUGAAGCGUGCAUUUUCGAAGUGGAUCGAAUUCGUCGAGGGAAUUAGUCGUUCAAGGCCGUCGUGGAAGUAGUGGUUGACGCGAUGGUAGUUGAACUUGACGCUUGCGUUACAUGAGUGUUCGGCGACGGUAGUCGUACAUGGUUCGGAGUGGUACUUGCGUCUUCGGACUUGUCGAUCUCGACUCUUGCGACAGUAGCUGUACACAUAGUCGUAGUGUUCGGGUCAUCGGUAGAGAUACUAGACGCAUCACCGGGUCUAGUCGUACAAGAGGGUCUUGACGAAUCCGAAGGGGUAGUUGGCAACCCAAAAUUACUCCUAUUCGAGGAGGUCUCCGUCUUGGUUUUCGCCGAUCGUGGGAAGUAGCGGUACAUGUCUCAGAGAGGAACUUGGCGCGCCCAAAAUGUUCGGGUAUCAUCCUGGGACUUGGCGGUGUCAGUCUCCUCAGGUAAAACAUGAUGUGCAAGGGCCAGAGUGACCGGCAGCUUGGGUGGCUCCUCAAGGCCAUGGCGAUGACAGGCCGCAGGAGGCUUCUAGAGGAGGCCGAGCCACGGCGAGGUGGUCCUGCUUCAUUGGCUGCAAGUGGUGGGCGAACGCAAGCAGCAACAAGGCUUUGGGCGCGAGGGAGAAGGAGCCGGCGCGUGGGAAGGAGAAGCAGGGGAAGUCAACGCGGGGCCGCGGCACGGACAUGACGGGCAAAGGGGCUCUGGAUCGAGCUCCUCUCGCCCUAGAGCAUGGUCGCGUGCGCGGUACAGAGGUGGACACCCAGUGAGGACGGCUACUUGGGCCUCCAUGGUGGUGCGACACGAGGAAGGAGAGGCCCGGGCGACGACAGCGCCAUGGGGACGAAGCAGGAGGGGAGAAGAGGGGCGCGUCGGGGUGGCCGAGGACGGCAGUUCGGCGUUGACUAGAGUAGGGGAAGGAGAGGGAGGUGCGGCGCUCAACUGCUGGUUUGAUGAGGACGGCACAGAGGAGAUCGGGCGUGGGGUCGAGGUGAGGAGGAGAAGCAGGAGGGCGAGGGGCGGCGAUGAAGGCUUACAAGGGGGCGGGGAGGCAGUGAGACAGCUCGGUGAUGACCUCGCGCAUGGAGGAUGGCGGCGGAUCGGGAGGUCCUCCUGAUCGGGACGAGGAUGAGGGGUUGGAGGAGAAAGGUUCGAGGGGAGAUGGCGACGCUGCGGGAGAAAAUGGAGGGGGAGUGGG